Molecule: ribosomal RNA, 226 nt
Filed under: Aeromicrobium piscarium
Lineage: Bacteria; Bacillati; Actinomycetota; Actinomycetes; Propionibacteriales; Nocardioidaceae
Description: Aeromicrobium sp. Co35 partial 23S ribosomal RNA
Rfam family: Bacterial large subunit ribosomal RNA
Source: RNAcentral
CGAACCUCUGGUGUGCCAGUUGUACCGCCAGGUGCACGGCUGGUUGGCUACGUUCGGAAGUGAUAACCGCUGAAAGCAUCUAAGCGGGAAGCACGUUUCAAGAUGAGGUUUCCCACCCGCCAUGGGUUAAGGCCCCCAGCAGACCACUGGGUUGAUAGGCCAGAAGUAGAAGCACAGCAAUGUGUGGAGCUGACUGGUACUAAUAGGCCGAGGGCUUGUCACCCAA